RNAcentral lists this long non-coding RNA (1017 nucleotides) under Ananas comosus (pineapple). RNAcentral's name for it is "long non-coding RNA (ACOM_LNC002484)". The record is from RNAcentral. Lineage: Eukaryota; Viridiplantae; Streptophyta; Magnoliopsida; Poales; Bromeliaceae.
CGUUAAAUUUAAUCUACAUUAUUAAAAAAAAUUUAGAAUUAAAUUUUAUAAUUUUUUUGAUAUUAUUUGACUAGUAAUAGAAAAGUUUUAAAAUUGACAAUUUUAAUUAUCCAUGUAAUGUGAUUGUGAAUUUAACGAUGUAAAAUAAUUCAAAUUCAAUGAAAUUUUUAUAAUUUUUUUUUUCACUAUUUAGAAUAAAAUCAGUAGCUCUGAUCUUAAAUUCAAGUCUUUUAUCAUUAAUUUUUAUAAAAUUUUUAUUUUUAACCAUUCAUUUUAAGACUGCUCGUUUGAUAGGUAAUAAUGUCAAAAAAUUAUAAAAUUUAGUUUUCAACUAUUUUCAAUAGUGUAGAUCAAGUCUAAUGGAGACAAUUGUUGAUUGACAUUUUGCAACAGACACCAUAUAUAUAUAUAUAGAGAGAGAGAGAGAGAGAGAGAGUGUUUGGCUACUAUACUCUUAUGAGUACGAUGACCCUCGUACUCAUAAGUUGUUUUCGAUGAUAGAGCUUCCGAAUUGACGAUCCAUAUCGUUAAACAUUAUUUAGAGCAUUUAAAACGUCUAGAAAUCACAUUUUAUAAUUUUUCGACAUCAUUUACCUUACGAUCAAAAGAUCACAAAAUUGACAAUUUUUAACGAUCGGUACGAGAUAUUUGCUAGUUUAACAGUGUAAAAGAAUCGAAAUCGGUUGAAUUUUUGAUAGAAAAUUCUAUUCACUACAUAGAUAAAGAUCAAUAACUCCGAUCUUAAAUUGAAGGAUCCGAACAUCUAUUUUAAAGACGCCAUUCGAUUUUGACCGUUCAUUUUAUAUCCGCUUGAUUAGCUUUAUUAUGACUUCGAAAAAUUGCGUAUAUAGGCCGUGGCUACUGUACUAUUAUGAGUAUUGGAGUCCUCGUACUCAUAAGUUGUUUUCAAUUAUUGAGCUUCGGAAUCGAUGAUCCACUCCGUUAAAUAUGCCAUAUAUAUAUAUAUAUACAUAUACACACUAGUUGAAUGUACAUCCAAAUGCACAUAACAAUUAU